Molecule: long non-coding RNA, 6124 nt
Filed under: Sus scrofa (pig)
Lineage: Eukaryota; Metazoa; Chordata; Mammalia; Artiodactyla; Suidae
Description: lncRNA (ENSSSCG00000053705.1)
Source: RNAcentral
AGGGCCACACCUACAGCAUAUGGAAGUUCCCAGGCUAGGGGUCCAAUCAGAGCCACAGCUGCUGGCCUACACCACAGUCCCAGCAAUGGCCAAAUCCAAGCCACCUUUGCAACCUACACUGCAGCUCAUGGCAACGCAGAUCCUUUACCCAUUGAGCAAGGCCAGGGAUCUAACCCUCAUCUUCAUGGGUACUAGUUGGAUUCAUUUCCGAUGAGCCACAAUGGGAAUUCCCUAGAUAGCUUUUUAAUUUCUAUUUUUUUCCUUUCCAUUUUUUCCUAAAAUCCAAGAAUUUAUUUUGGUCACUUUCUGAUUUAUUUAUACUUUUACUGGCUCAUAAACAGUGAAUAUUUAUACUAUAAGGCUUUCUAUGUGAGUAUCAUAGAUUUUGACAGGAUAUAUUCAUUUCUUCAUUCAACAAACGCUAUGAAGAAAUGAGCCUUAAGGGAAGACUCAGUUGUGGUAAGAUUGGGUUGGGGGAGACCCAGGUGGAUGCAGAGGGCAUUUCAUUUAGCAGGAUUAAUAUGCACAAAGUUGAAAAGCAUGAAGGAACCUACCCCAUGGCCAGGAACCAGAGGUAGAGAUGAAUUUUUGGAGCAUAAAGUGAGCGAGGAGAGUUAGGCAAGAUGAGACUACUUAGAAAAUGAUGACCUUUUGAAAAUUACUUCCCUACCUUUUUCAUUCUGUUAGAACCUCAAGGACAUUGUGAGCAUAAUCUGGAAGAUAUGCUAAGGUGCUUGGAGCAGAGGGCCAGAAGACCUCUCCUUCUCCAGCAUAGGAGGGUGCUUUCCUUUCCUAGGGCUGCCUUAACCAAGUACCACACCGAGGUGGCUUAGAAUAGCAUUAAUUUAUUAUCCCUCAGAUAUGGAGGCUAAAAGUCCAAAAUCAAGUUGUUGACAGGGCCAUGCUACCUUUGAAACCUGUAGGAGAGAUUCCUUCCUCACUUCUCCCUACCUGCUGGUGAUUGCUGGUAGUCAGUCUUUGGUCCUCCUUGGCUUGUACGUGCAUCACUCCAAUCUCUGCCUGUAUUGUCAAGUGGGAUUCUCCCCAUGGGUCUCUUGUCUUAUAAAGUUUCUUAUAAGGACAUCAGUUAUAUUGGAUUAGGUGCCUAAGCUACUCCAGCAUCAUCUUAGCUAAUAUAUCUUCAGUGAGGUACUGGGAGUUACAACUUCAACAUCACUUUUUGUGGAAAGAUACAAUUCAACCCAUAACAAAGCCACAGUUCAAGUUUUUAAACAUUUCAAACAAAUAUGCUGAUUUUCUUCUAGAUAUUAUUGUGUCUGUGUGCCAUUAACUCACUUUUAACAAAUAUCUGUAACACCUAGCCCACUAUGUAUCUACAAGCACGUCAACCCAGUCUUUAUUUUUGCCAUGUUCCUUUAGAAAUCCUCUCCUUGAUUGUGCAUAUUUUUAUUCUUAAUAUCAAAUUUGUUCAUAGCUUCCCAAUUGAUAUAGUGAUGAUUUUAGGAUUCAGUUAUUGAAAAAUUAACUCAAUUCCACCCAAGAGUCCAUAGUCUAAAUGUUGGGAAUCAAUAUUCCAGCAUAACCUCCAAAUUCUCUAAAAAGUUUGUCCCUCCCAGAAAUCUCCUCCUUACCAAAAAAAAAAAAAAAAAAAUUCUUCUCCUUUUCAGGAGAUGCAUGCACAAGUACUCAAAAGUAGGGUGGCUGAAACUCAAUGUCAGCAAGAUUCCUGAUUUUUCUGAACUUUUCCAGAAACAGCUCUUCUCUGAACUCGUCCAGAUUUUUAGUUUCUCUCUGUUCCUUCUUCCCACCCAAGCCUUUUCUUCUUUGCUCCCUCCUUCCUAUACUUACACUUGUUUCUACUGAAUAUCUGGUAACUCAUUUUUCUAAUUAGGUCACCGAAGAAACUCUUGUAAACCUCCCCAAUGGAUAUUAGCAUGGCCUGGAAUGCUCCAUUCUGUUUUCUUUUCUGGAUCAGAACUCAGUAUGUAAACCAGGAAUGUUGACCUUCCAUCAUGCUAUCCAUAUUGGAAACUUUGCUAUUCCAGUAUCACAUCUUUUGGAUUGGUUCCAUGGAUUUUCAAAUUAACUAAUUUGAGAGAUGUACCUUUUUUAAACUAGUUAAGUCAUGUUCUUGAUUUCAAAGGGCAAUAAGUGAAUGUAACUAUGUUCUUUUGUAGACAAAAUUAAACUAUCAGUAAUUCAUGCUUCAGGUGAGGUAAAAUGGGAUUAUCUUUGGAGGCAGAACAUGUCUUUUGGCAUCUUUCCAUUAAGUCUGCUCACAUGUAAUGCCUGCUAUGGGUUGACUUGUGCUAUUUAACAUUGAUGUUCAAGUAUACAUUUACUAAAUAGUAGAUGGAUCAAGUGGAGGGAGAUGGGUGAGGAACUUAGUCAAUUCAUUACAGUUGACCCUUGAAGAAGUUGUGGGUUUGUGGUAUAUAACUUUAUAGUUAGCCCUCUAUAUCGGCAGCUGCACAUUUGUAGGUUCACCCAACUACUAAAUAAGUAACAUGUAUUUAGUGAAAAAAAUCUGUUUAUUUUUUCAAUUCAAACCCAUGUUGCCCAAGUAUCAGCUAUAUUUAGAAUCAAGUGAAUGGUAUAUUCCCCUGCAAAUAUUUUAUAUAUAUAUUUGUAAAAUUUUUAGUUAUUUUAAAGUUGAUUUUCUUCUCAAAAGAGUAUUUAGAAAGGUAACCCACUUAUAAAGUUAUUCUAAUAAAUGAGUCCUUCCAGAACAACAUUUAAUUGUUAUAGUUGGAAAAUUAAUAACCAAAACUGUAUGAACUAGUCUCUUCUCAACUGUCAUCAAUGUAUUGCAGUAAAGUCUGGUGUUUUAAAAGCUUGUAAAACAACUUUGAUAUAAGAGAAUCAUUUCAUGUAUGUACACAAUGGGUAAUCCACCUUUCACAGGUCAUUAGAAAUACAGAACUAAUGGUAAGGUAGGAUUGCAUGGCUUUUAGUGAGAUGACAAGUCCUUGAAAUGAAAUGAAAUCUGCAAUGUGAUUCAAACUCUUUUUGUGCUUUCCUUUUAGCAAAAAUUACUGGAGCACUGAGAAUCCAAGAAAACAAUAUGGGAACAGAAAACCUAUGCAUUAACUUAUCUUUACUUAGGAUUUUCUUAGGCAGCUAUUGUGAUUCAAAUAAAUAAACAGUUGAGGCUACUUCUAUUUUCAACCUUAUUUCACAAAGAGUGAACUGAGGAGGGCAGAGAUUCAUUAGUCUCAAUGCUGAGGUGUGGUAACAGUUUAUAAACCUAGGUUUGAAAUAUUAGCACCACAACAAAGAAAUUUUUAUUCUUUUAUUUCACGUUUUCAAGUUCAAUAAAAAUAUAGAAUGAUGUUUUGGAAUGAAUUUAUAGGUUUUUUACAAAGUAUGAAAAGGGAUAUUUGCUCUUGAAAUUCCCAUAUGAUUUUUUUUUGUCUUCUUUGUCUUUUUAGGACCACACCCAUGGCAUAUGGAGGUUCCCAGGCUAGGGGUCCAAUCUGAGCUACAGCUGCCAGCCUACGCCAGAGCCACAGCAACACCAGAUCAAGCCAUGUCCGAGACCUACACCAUAGCUCACAGCAACACCAGAUCCCCAAACCACUGAGUGAGGCCAGGGAUCAAACCCGCAACCUCAUGGUUCCUAGUUGGAUUCGUUUCUGCUGCGCCAUGUCGGGAACUCCCUGCUUAUGAUUUUUCAGAAUGUACUCAAACUAAAUGGUGAGAAUAUGAUGAAGAAUAUGCUGUGUCUUAAAAACUCAUUUGUGCAUUAUGUGCCCCCUUCAGCUUGACUGAUUCUCUAUUCAUUUGAACUUCUGAGAGUCUUUGAACUUGCUUUAUUCUGUUCAUAUCCUUUUCUAAGCAGAUAAAAUAUGGUUUCUAUUGGUGAAAUAGUGGUAAUCAAAAUAAAUUUACAUUAUUUUUUAAAAAUGCCUUAUAAAGACAUUUAAAGAUUACAUUUAUCUUGAUAUUGUUAAGAAGAAAAAGCUAUAGGUCAUUCUCUUCCAAUGAAAUGGUUGUGGAUUGGAUGAACAUAUUUGUAUUCAAAAAUGAAUUGAUCUUACAACUUUUAGACAAAAGUAUUACUUUACAAAUACUUUGUUUUGAUUAUCCAAACUGAUUUUUUUCCCCAAUAUUGUUCCUUUUAAAUAAAGUACAAUUGGUUUUACUGUGAUUGUGGAAAAUAAUAUAACGACUUUUUGAAAAAUUUAUGUUUUCCCUGUGGAGAUAAUAUGUCAUAUUCUACUUUUAAGUUAUCGAAAGUCUUCUCUUAUAAAUAUGUACACAGUUGGGUAUAUACUCAAAAAACUAGCUGUCAAUCUUUAGAAUAUCUGUGCUCAUUGAUAUUUACAGAUUUCAUUCCCACAUAUUCCUCUCUUAAAAAGAACAUGAAUUAAAAAUAUGUUCUAUUUGUACCAGUCCCCACUAAUUUAAUAAAUAUUUACUGAAUGUGUGCUCUGUGCCAGGUUCAUUUCUAUGUUCUGUGUGAUCAGAUAAGAUCCCUGCCUUCAUGGAACUUAAGCUCUUUCAGGGCCUGGGUUGUAGUGGUGGGUGUGGUUUGGGAAGAUAGAAAAGAAAAAUUAAUAAACAAAAUUACCUAAAGAAAUGAUUUUUGAAGUAAAAAAAAAGUGAUAGACUAGAAGCCCUGUAGAUUAGGUAUCCUACAGUUACAUAAGACAGAGAAUUAUAAUAGUUAACAUUUAUUGAAUGCUUGUUAUGUACCAAGUACUUCUCUGUUGACCUUCACAUGGAUUAGGCUAUUUCAUAACAUAAGUUUAUGAUAUAGGUACCAUUGUCAUCUUAAUUUUAAGUAUGCAGAUACUUAAAUACAUAAUUUACCUUACUCUUUGAAAAAUCACACUAUUAAGAAAUUAUGAAGAUGGGAUUUUAAACUAUGUGGUUUGACACAGAAGUAGUAGUAUUAACCAUUAUGCUAUUUUUGAGGAAAUUGCAUGUUGCCUCACGGUAGAUAGAUGAGUUACAAAGCAUAGGAAGGGGCAAAUUAGAGACAGAGAAAACAACACAUGAAAAGGACUUAAGGCAAGAAAAAUCAUGAUGUAUUUGCAGAACAGAAGGUAGGAGUGUUGGAUUAUAGUGAGUAAUUAAAAAGUCAUGUAAAAAUUACUUUGAGAAGCAUCUAGCAGUAAGUAUAUCACAUAGGGCCUUUUAAACAAUAAUAAGAGGUUUGUACUUUAUUGUCAGAGCAAUACAAAGCAAUCAGAGGACAUUAAAACAAAGGAGAUACAUGAUUUGAUUGACAUUAACAAAGUCUACUUACUGUAUGGGGGAUGAAGGGGAGUGGGAUAUGGGAACAAGAACAGUUGAAAGACUAUGAUGAUAGUCAAGGAAUGAAAUCAAGGCACUUUGAACUAUGUAAGUGGUAAUGGGAAUGGAAAGAAAACAAUAUAUUUUAGAUAUCUUUUGGAUAGUAAGUCAGUGAUACUUGAUUGAUUGGCUGUGUAGGACUGAAGAUUAAGCAAGAGAUCAUUCUAUUUUGAAUAUGUUCCUUUUGCUUGAUGUCUAAGAGAAGAUAUCAAAGAGACAGAUGCAGUCUAAAGCUCAGGGGAAAGGUCUGAGCUGAUGAUCUAUUUGGAAUCACUAGCUUGUAAUUGGUGAUUAAAGCUAUGGGCAUCAAUGUUUUCUUUACCUUGUCUUGUUUUAGGGCUGCAUGCAUGGCAUAUGAAGUUUCCCAGGUUAGGGGUCAAAUCAGAGCUGUAGCUGCUGGCUUACACCACAGCCACAGCAACACGGGAUCUGAGCCACAUCUGUGAUCUACACCAUAGCUCAUAGCAAUGCCGAAUCCUUAACCCACUGAGCAAGGCCAGGGAUAGAAUCUGCAUCCUCAUGGAUGCCUGUCAGAUUUGUUUCCACUGACCUAUGGUGGGAACUCCCAACGUUGAUGUUUUCUAGGGCAGUGUUCCUCAAUACUGACUGUACUUUUGACUCAUCUAGGAAGAUUUUCAAAAAUAAAGAUUCCAUGCUCUAUCUGAAGCCAGUUAAAUUAGAAUCUUUGAGGAGAUGAACCCUGAACCAUAUUUUUAAAUACCUCUGUAAAUUCUUUAAAAGAGUAGCCAGCCUUGAGACCCACUGGUUUAGGAAUAGGAGCAAACAAUGAUAGAAGCUAAGAGUGCAGAUUCCAGAAAAGAAAGUGUUUUAAGAAGGAUAGACCUGUUUCAAGAAAGGUCAG